Molecule: long non-coding RNA, 929 nt
Filed under: Anolis carolinensis (green anole)
Lineage: Eukaryota; Metazoa; Chordata; Lepidosauria; Squamata; Anolidae
Description: lncRNA (ENSACAG00000037680.1)
Source: RNAcentral
CUUUCAGAGAUGACAGGGCUUCAGGGGACAUCGAGGUGUGGUCUAGGGGCUUCAUGCUCCCCAUAGGCCACAUUGACAUCCCUGACGUACAGGGUGACAGGAAGAGUUUCACACCUUCACCAUAUGACAAAUCCUGCAGGGAGUAAGUGUACAAACUAGGCCAUGUAGUCAGCAGGAACACCAACUUUGUGAUCAAUGCUGCCUGUGGCAAGAGAAAUCUGAGAGCUCAUUCCCUAUCUUCUGGCAAAAGGAUAUUCUAUGUGUUAUAAGCAGGGCUGGAAGUAGAAAUGAACACAAGUGAGUCAACAUUUCCUUUGUCAACGUGCUUUUGCUACAACGUGUGUCUCAGGGCAAAAUCUGAAGGAAGAUGAUGCAGCAGCAUUGCAGGAACUUGAACAGGUUUGGUACAUGAGUAAUGCAAGGAAGACUGAUCAAGAAUUCUAUGUAGGGACACACAAACGUGUUCAUGCCAAAAAGUGCUUGCUCUUUUGUAUAUGCUUCAAAUGCAAGCACACAGGGGACUGAUGUGUUAUGAAUCAUUCAAGCUAACACACUGAAAUAUUCACAGGUGCUUACAUUUUUGAGUGCCACAUACCCCUUCUCUCCUCCCUCCCCAAGGCAGCUCAGAUCUAUCAAGGGCAUUCUUUCUCAGCUGAAAGGUUAAGCUUACUGCUUUAGUAUUACAUUUCUUUUGAGAAUGUUCUGAGACAAUGCACCCUGCCAUGCCAGGUAAAAAUGUGACAAGGAGCCUUCAGCCAUCCAAAGUGCGGAGUAGAAUAUCCUCCAGCUCAUUCACUCCAGGGCCAGUGUGUGAUAAUCCAGGCUGUGUUUCCAAGACCAGGCUGCACCUUCUUCUUGGUGGUCCCUGGGGACUAUUGUCUAAGCACACUUCCCGUUCCCCAUCUGAGGAGGCCUCCUCCAGGGCCUAG